CCAAUAGCGUAUAUUAAAGUUGUUGCAGUUAAAAAGCUCGUAGUUGAAUUUCGGAAUCGACGGAUUGGUCGCGCCUUCGGUGUGUACUGGUCUUGCCGGUUUCUCCCUUCUGACGAACCACGAUGUCAUUAAUUUGGUGUCGUGGGGAAUCAGGACUGUUACUUUGAAAAAAUUAGAGUGUUUAAAGCAGGCAUUAGCUUAAAUACAUUAGCAUGGAAUAAUGAAAUAGGACGUUUGAUCUUAUUUUGUUGGUUUCUAGGAUCGACGUAAUGAUUAAUAGGGAUAGUUGGGGGCAUUAGUAUUCAAUUGUCAGAGGUGAAAUUCUUGGAUUUAUUGAAGACUAACUACUGCGAAAGCAUUUGCCAAGGAUGUUUUCAUUAAUCAAGAACGAAAGUUAGGGGAUCGAAGACGAUCAGAUACCGUCGUAGUCUUAACCAUAAACUAUGCCGACUAGGGAUCGGAUGAUGUUAAUUUUUUAAUGACUCAUUCGGCGCCUUACG
This 500-nucleotide ribosomal RNA is filed under the name uncultured Glomeromycotina. RNAcentral describes it as "partial small subunit ribosomal RNA". It matches the Rfam family "Eukaryotic small subunit ribosomal RNA", at positions 591 to 1092 of the family's 1831-position model. The record is from RNAcentral. Lineage: Eukaryota; Fungi; Glomeromycota.